UAAAGUUCUUGAGGUGCCUAAGAAAAGUAUUCAAGAAGAAAAAUCUCUUUCUGAAGACACAACGAUAUACAUUUAUGAAGUGUCUGAAGAAUCCACCACAGAAGAAAAAGUACUUGUGACUCAUCCUCCAAAGACGAAAACCAAAAUAGCAAAAGGUAUAUAAUACCAAUGAUCUAGUCUGAAGAAUAUUUAUUUAGGGCUCAUUUUAAAAGCUCAAUCUUCUCCUGUGCUGUUUAUAAAUAUAAUUAUACUCAUAUCUUUUAAGUGCCUGAGCCACCCAAGAAAGUUGUUCCAGAGGACAAAGUAUAUGUGACGAUUCCUAAAAAGAGAGAAACGCCAGCAACUAAAGGUACAUUUCAACAACAUCAAACUUGGAUGAAUAACUUUGGAUUCAAGACUCAAUAAUUGUGUGUUAUAUGAUUUACUGCCUUCACAACUUCUAAGUGUAAACCUAAUAAUAUUUUUAAAGAGCCUGAUACAACCAGAGAAGUUUUUCCAGAGGUGGAGUUACCUGAGGCUGUUCCCCAAAUUCCAGAGCAUCCUCCAACUGAAGGUAUAAUUCUUAGUUCUGAAAAUUUAAAGAGAAUCUUUCUUCUUCAGUCUGAAAAAUAUGUUUAGUGUUUUGUGUAGGUUCUCAGAACCCCUAACACUAAAAUACUAAUAUCUUUAGGGUCCCCAAUGUACCCAAGACAAGGAGCUUUCUAUGACUUGCCCCCUACCAAAAAAAAAAAAAGUCCCAUUCAUACUAUGUAUAAGGAUAAGCAAUUAGAACAAAAGUUAAAUUUCUAAUUUAAAGUUACAAUAUCUGUUAACAUACCUAACUUUUUAAAUAUGUGUGUCUUCAUGUCUUUGCCUUUCCUCAACUAAAAAAUACUAAUAUCUUUAAAGAGUUGGAAGUCUCCAAGGAAGGUCUUCCAGAGCAGCAAGCUCCUGUUGCUAAAAGAAGAAUACCAACAUCAAAAGGUACAAGCCAGAAGAAAGCUGACUUUCUUAUCUCGUGAUUGUAGUUGUACUUAAAACCUGUAAAUAUACUAAUAUCUUGAGAGCCCCAGAUGCUACGAAGGAAUAUCAUUGCAGAGAAGUGGGUCCCCCAAAGCAGAAGCUCAAGGGUGUAUACAUAUUCCCAUGAGCUAUUCAAGAGAAAAUAGAAGGAGGAAAAAAUCUUUAACGUAUCUAAAUGGAAGGUGCUUGGGCUAUAAAGUCUAACUAUGAUGUCUCCAGGGAAUAUAUGAAGACAUACAAUGUGUAGAUGUGACCCAGAUGGAUUCUUCAAUAGGAAAUAGCAGUUACUGUUCGAAAAAAAGGAAAAAAAAAAUCAGACUGGGGAAAAAAAAAAGCUAUACAAGACCACUUAAAACAUUUAUAUCCCUGAAACUAGGCCGAACUGGUUUAGCACUCCCCCCUUUAAAGCAGAACUCAGUGCCAUCAAAUGACAGAGGUGCUUGGCUGUACACUGUAAAUCAGUAAUUUAACUCUCCGUGGAGUUGAAAUUUCAGGAGAAACUAUAACUGCUUCUUGGAAUUGCCUUUCUAUAAAAAUAAAAUUACUACUAAACACAAACACAUGAAUGUGAAAAACUUAUUUUCCCAUAAGAAGUAAAUAUAGAAAUAUGCUCAGAAAACCAUGACUUAAAGAUAAUAAAAUAUUAAAUUCAACUUUGAGCAGUUCUUUUGAUCAUAGGGUCUCCACCUGAGAACCUUCCAGAAUUAAGCUAAUUAAAACUAGUUAACAUUGGAAUUCUGCAUGGAACACUUAGUUGUUCCUCUCAUUAUCUUUGAUUUUUUAGAGUCCUGCAUUUUUCCAUUUUGAAUGUUUUUAGGUAAAUCAAAAGAUGAGAAAGUUUUAAAACAUCCAGCUUAACAAUUUCUUUAUGAUAUCCAGGAUAUUCUGUAAUUUAAAGAAUAUCUGAACACUUUGACAUGAUUUUUUCAGUCUAGGAUCUCUGGGUCAUUCUCCUCUCUCCUAUACUUGAAAAACAAAUACUUACCCAAGGUAAGGGUAAAAUGAAGCCUAUCCAGACAAGAAAGAAGCUCUUAGGUUCUCCUCAAAUUAAAUAGCUAAAAGUACAUCAUUAAUUAUACAAGAUUAUUUUUUUUCACUUGAAGCUAAUUUUCCAUGAUAUCAUUUUCUAUACAACCACCAUUCUAAAAAAUAAAAUUCCUAAUAUCGAUAGUACCUGAGGUGACCAAGAAAAGAGCUCCUGAUAAUCAAGUACCCAUCCUAUCACUGAAGAAUCAGACACAGGGAACAGGAAUGUCUCCCCGUCUGGGGCAUUCCUGUAGGUGGAGUUAGGACUAAAAGUCUUCUACACUCUGAAGAACAAAGUGUUAAUAUCUUUAAAGGACAGGAAAUUGUCCCUUUAAGGAAAACACACAUGGCUGCUCCCCCUGAAAUUGAAACACCUUCUAGUAAAGGUACCCAUCAUUCUAUCAUUCCCGCCUUCAUUCAUUAAAUAAAUGCCAAUUAUGUGUGUGGGGCUAGGGAGCUGAGGAAUAAUAAACAAAGACAAUUAGGAUUUGAUUCCUUUUUCAAAGCUUUAUACAUCAUCCAGUUUUUAACAGAAGCACCCUUGGAGCCAGAAAUGCCACUUUGGUGUAGUUAAUGUAACUAACAUCUUCACUGAUGCCUUAACCUCUAAGCUUGAUACUAAUAUCUUCAAAGUCCCAGAAACUAUGAAAGAAGUUGCUUCCGAAAUGCAAGUAUCUGAGGAUUUUCCUAAGGAGCCAGAACCUCUGCCUAUAAAAGGUGUGUGAUACCUGUGAACUGGAGAAAUGAUCUGUCCUCUGCUCUUACAACUAUGCUUUUCGAGUGUUCUUCGUAACACCUAAAUGUAAACGUACUAAUAUCUUCCAAACACCUGAAGUUGCACAAGAAAUUCCCUCUUGAGAAAAUACUUGUGGGUGUUCCUAUUUAAACAGAAACCCCCUCUAAUAAAAGUAUUCAUUCAACAAAUGCUUAGUAAGGAAGGUCCACAGUGUCACAGGAACUAAGCCAAGUGCCGGUGAAGGGUGGGCAGCCCCUCUUCCUGAGGGUCCCACGAGCCCCCAAGCUUAUUUGAUGGGUGGAGCAAGGGGAGAAGAGACAGGCAGAGAAGAGACCUCUAGAAAACUACACUUGCCCACUUAUUGGGUUUACUGUUUUCACUAAUCCUUUUAUAUCUUAAAUGUGAAAUACUAAUAUCUUUGAAGUGCCUGAAGCUCCUCAAGAAGUUGUUCCUGCAAAGAGAGCUCCUUUCAAAGAAAGAGAACGUCCUUCAGUUGAAGUGCUGGAAGCUCCCCAAGAAAUUGUCCCUGAAAAGAAAACAUAUGUGAUUCCUCACAAAAAGCCUGAAAUUCCUCGUGAUGAAGGUAUAUGUUGCUGGGAGCUUAGAAAUUUGGGGAAAUGUCUUCUUCUGUAUGAAUAUGUUUCUUGUCUGUACAGAUUCUUCUAACCCCUAAAUGUAAAAAUAUUAAUAUCUUUAAAGUGCCAGAGGCACCUAGAGAAGUUGUCUCAGAAAGGAAAGUGCAUC
Mustela lutreola (European mink) is the source of this 3508-nucleotide long non-coding RNA. RefSeq lists it as uncharacterized. NCBI's taxonomy places the organism in Eukaryota, Metazoa, Chordata, Mammalia, Carnivora, Mustelidae. The record is from RefSeq and is a predicted model, not a curated record. The transcript is spliced from 3 exons.